Molecule: non-coding RNA, 30 nt
Filed under: Mus musculus (house mouse)
Lineage: Eukaryota; Metazoa; Chordata; Mammalia; Rodentia; Muridae
Source: RNAcentral
UGCCUGGUUGUCAGUAUAUCCAUUGACGUG